AGUAAGUGCACAAAGGCAUACACGGCUACCGAGAACAAACUUCUUUCCGAGUGUUGGUGAGACAUUGGACAAGACCCCAAGACGGGCGCCGAACAAAAGCAUUCAACCUUUUGGAUUUGUGUCCACCGAGAAUUUCAUGAGCGCAAGAAGUUUCCGCCUUACCAACUUAUGAGCACACGCAGGUGGGUGUCCAUUUCCAAGCGAUUGAGGGUGAUCCAACAAGAGUGCAACAAGUUUUGCGCCAUUCUUGAGAGCAUCAAGGCCCGCCCCGUGAGCGGCAUCGACAUGCAAGACAUGGUAUGCUAG
Molecule: ribosomal RNA, 306 nt
Filed under: Triticum aestivum (bread wheat)
Lineage: Eukaryota; Viridiplantae; Streptophyta; Magnoliopsida; Poales; Poaceae
Description: partial small subunit ribosomal RNA
Source: RNAcentral